Molecule: ribosomal RNA, 466 nt
Filed under: uncultured bacterium
Lineage: Bacteria
Description: partial 16S ribosomal RNA
Rfam family: Bacterial small subunit ribosomal RNA
Source: RNAcentral
GACGAACGCUGGCGGCGUGCUUAACACAUGCAAGUCGAACGGAAAGGCCCUGCUUGCAGGGUACUCGAGUGGCGAACGGGUGAGUAACACGUGGGUGAUCUGCCCUGCACUUCGGGAUAAGCUUGGGAAACUGGGUCUACUACCGGAUAGGACCGCACUUUAGUGUGUGUGGUGGAAAGUUUUUUCGGUGUAGGAUGAGCUCGCGGCCUAUCAGCUUGUUGGUGGGGUAAUGGCCUACCAAGGCGGCGACGGGGAGCCGGCCUGAGAGGGUGUACGGCCACAUUGGGACUGAGAUACGGGCCAGACUCCGACGGGAGGCAGCAGGGGGGAAUAUUGCACAAUGGGCGCAAGCCUGAUGCAGCGAGGCCGCGUGGGGGAUGAAGGCCUUCGGGUUGUAAACUCCUGUCGCUAGGGACGAAGCUUUGUUGUGACGGUACCUAGAUAAGAAGCACCGGCUAACUACGUG